GUGGGGAAUAUUGGACAAUGGGCGAAAGCCUGAUCCAGCCAUGCCGCGUGUGUGAAGAAGGCCUUCGGGUUGUAAAGCACUUUAAGCGAGGAGGAAGGUUCGUCACCUAAUACGUGACGGAAUUGACGUUACUCGCAGAAUAAGCACCGGCCAGCUCUGUGCCAGCAGCCGCGGUAAUACAGAGGGUGCAAGCGUUAAUCGGAAUUACUGGGCGUAAAGCGCGCGUAGGCGGUUGUGUAAGUUGGAUGUGAAAUCCCCGGGCUUAACCUGGGCACUGCAUUCAAAACUGCACGGCUAGAGUAUUGGAGAGGAAGGUAGAAUUCCAGGUGUAGCGGUGAAAUGCGUAGAGAUCUGGAGGAAUACCGAUGGCGAAGGCAGCCUUCUGGCCAAAUACUGACGCUGAGGUGCGAAAGCAUGGGGAGCAAACAGGAUUAGAUACCCUGGUAGUCCAUGCCGUAAACGAUGUCAACUAGGUGUUGGGGAACUUGAUUCCUUAGUGCCGCAGCUAACGCAUUAAGUUGACCGCCUGGGGAGUACGGUCGCAAGAUU
This 549-nucleotide ribosomal RNA is filed under the name uncultured bacterium. RNAcentral describes it as "bacterial SSU rRNA". It matches the Rfam family "Bacterial small subunit ribosomal RNA", at positions 354 to 895 of the family's 1533-position model. The record is from RNAcentral.